AACUUUCAGCGACGGAUCUCUUGGCUCUCGCAUCGAUGAAGAACGCAGCGAAAUGCGAUAAGUAAUGUGAAUUGCAGAAUUCAGUGAAUCAUCGAAUCUUUGAACGCACCUUGCGCUCCUUGGUAUUCCGAGGAGCAUGCCUGUUUGAGUGUCA
This 154-nucleotide ribosomal RNA is filed under the name Cyclocybe aegerita. RNAcentral describes it as "5.8S ribosomal RNA". It matches the Rfam family "5.8S ribosomal RNA". From Rfam's summary of the family: 5.8S ribosomal RNA (5.8S rRNA) is a component of the large subunit of the eukaryotic ribosome. Lineage: Eukaryota; Fungi; Basidiomycota; Agaricomycetes; Agaricales; Hemipholiotaceae. The record is from RNAcentral.